RNAcentral lists this long non-coding RNA (292 nucleotides) under Lathyrus oleraceus (garden pea). Its description in RNAcentral is "Pisum sativum (pea) long non-coding RNA (PSAT_LNC038068)". Lineage: Eukaryota; Viridiplantae; Streptophyta; Magnoliopsida; Fabales; Fabaceae. The record is from RNAcentral.
AAGGGAAUCACCACUAUAUAUAACAACCUUCUCCAUUUCUCAAAAACCAGGUGCAGGAAAUUUUCAAAUCUCCAUUUUCAAUAUCCUUUACCUGCAUCUGUUUUUCAAUUUUCAUAUAUCAUUUUCAUUUUCUCCCUGAAAAUCAUUCAAACAAAUCAAGAUAAUAUCUAUUGAAAUUGAAUACCAUUCAUCUGGGAAAGAAGAAAAUGCCGUCAUCGUUGGAGGAUGAACUCUUCCCAUCAACACCAGGAAAGUUCAAGAUCGAGAGAAAUCACGGCAUGAUGAACCGGCA